GACGAACGCUGGCGGCGUGCUUAACACAUGCAAGUCGAACGGAAAGGCCCUGCUUUUGUGGGGUGCUCGAGUGGCGAACGGGUGAGUAACACGUGAGUAACCUGCCCUUGACUUUGGGAUAACUUCAGGAAACUGGGGCUAAUACCGGAUAGGAGCUCCGGCUGCAUGGUGGGGGUUGGAAAGUUUCGGCGGUUGGGGAUGGACUCGCGGCUUAUCAGCGUGUUGGUGGGGUAGUGGCUUACCAAGGCUUUGACGGGUAGCCGGCCUGAGAGGGUGACCGGCCACAUUGGGACUGAGAUACGGCCCAGACUCCUACGGGAGGCAGCAGUGGGGAAUAUUGCACAAUGGGCGGAAGCCUGAUGCAGCAACGCCGCGUGCGGGAUGACGGCCUUCGGGUUGUAAACCGCUUUCGCCUGUGACGAAGCGUGAGUGACGGUAAUGGGUAAAGAAGCACCGGCUAACUACGU
Molecule: ribosomal RNA, 467 nt
Filed under: uncultured bacterium
Lineage: Bacteria
Description: partial 16S ribosomal RNA
Rfam family: Bacterial small subunit ribosomal RNA
Source: RNAcentral